UACGUAGGCAGCAAGCGUUGUUCGGAUUUACUGGGCGUAAAGGGUGCGUAGGCGGCUUUUUAAGUUUGGUGUGAAAUCUCCCGGCUCAACUGGGAGGGUGCGCCGAAUACUGAGAGGCUAGAGUGUGGGAGAGGAAAGUGGAAUUCCUGGUGUAGCGGUGAAAUGCGUAGAUAUCAGGAGGAACACCGGUGGUGUAAACGGCUUUCUGGACCAUAACUGACGCUGAGGCACGAAAGCGUGGGUAGCAAACAGG
RNAcentral lists this ribosomal RNA (253 nucleotides) under uncultured bacterium. RNAcentral's name for it is "partial 16S ribosomal RNA". It matches the Rfam family "Bacterial small subunit ribosomal RNA", at positions 524 to 776 of the family's 1533-position model. The record is from RNAcentral.